GGGUCCUUGUGUAGUGGUAACACAUCGCCUUGUAAUCCUGAAUGGCAUUUACGGCUGACUCCUGAGUACGGGGUUCGAGCCCCCGAGGAUGCG
Molecule: non-coding RNA, 93 nt
Organism: Mycena latifolia
Lineage: Eukaryota; Fungi; Basidiomycota; Agaricomycetes; Agaricales; Mycenaceae
Source: the annotation of a GenBank genome assembly